UACGAAGGGUGCAAGCGUUACUCGGAAUUACUGGGCAUAAAGCGUGCGUAGGUGGUGGCUUAAGUCCGUUGUGAAAGCCCUGGGCUCAACCUGGGAAUUGCAGUGGAUACUGGGUCACUAGAGUGUGGUAGAGGGUGGCGGAAUUCCUGGUGUAGAGGUGAAAUUCGUAGAUAUCAGGAGGAACACCAGUGGCGAAAGCGGCCACCUGGGCCAACACUGACACUGAGGCACGAAAGCGUGGGGAGCAAACAGG
RNAcentral lists this ribosomal RNA (253 nucleotides) under uncultured bacterium. RNAcentral's name for it is "partial 16S ribosomal RNA". It matches the Rfam family "Bacterial small subunit ribosomal RNA", at positions 524 to 776 of the family's 1533-position model. The record is from RNAcentral.